Molecule: ribosomal RNA, 483 nt
Filed under: uncultured bacterium
Lineage: Bacteria
Description: partial 16S ribosomal RNA
Rfam family: Bacterial small subunit ribosomal RNA
Source: RNAcentral
AUUGAACGCUGGCGGCAUGCUUUACACAUGCAAGUCGAACGGCAGCGCGGGCUUCGGCCUGGCGGCGAGUGGCGAACGGGUGAGUAAUGCAUCGGAACGUGCCCAGUAGUGGGGGAUAGCCCGGCGAAAGCCGGAUUAAUACCGCAUACGACCGGAGGGUGAAAGCGGGGACCGAAAGGCCUCGCGCUCUUGGAGCGGCCGAUGUCGGAUUAGCUAGUUGGUGGGGUAAAGGCUUACCAAGGCGACGAUCCGUAGCUGGUCUGAGAGGACGACCAGCCACACUGGGACUGAGACACGGCCCAGACUCCUACGGGAGGCAGCAGUGGGGAAUUUUGGACAAUGGGGGCAACCCUGAUCCAGCCAUGCCGCGUGCGGGAAGAAGGCCUUCGGGUUGUAAACCGCUUUUGUUCGGGAAGAAAUCCUCUAGGCUAAUACCCCGGGGGGAUGACGGUACCGGAAGAAUAAGCACCGGCUAACUACGUG